Molecule: long non-coding RNA, 4738 nt
Organism: Mauremys reevesii (Reeves's turtle)
Lineage: Eukaryota; Metazoa; Chordata; Testudines; Geoemydidae
Exons: 7
Source: RefSeq, a predicted model, not a curated record
CAGACAACCGGUGUCCCUCAGGGUUCGCGUCCCAUUGGACCCCCAGGCCUGGGUGGUGAGGAUCUUCAGCUGGUCCACAACCUCACACAGGAGGGCUCGAUCUUGGGUCGCCUGGCUCAUUAAUAAUUGGUUGGUUUCCUGCUGUAACCUCAUGGACUCCUGUUGUGCCAUCGCCUGAGCCCGGGAUGCCUCCUGCUGGGCCGCUGUGUAAUUAACCUGUAAAGAGUCAGGACAUUUUUAAACCAUGUGAGGCAAGAAUAAGAAAACAAUUAAACAAGUCUUUUCCAGAGGACUGGGAGAAUAUACUGCUUGUCUCUAUGAACAACAACAACAACAACAACAAAGUGUCCCUUGGAGUAGUGAAUUCCUAAGGCUGAUUAUGUAACAGGAUGCCCAUGCUCUUACUGAAAAGAAACUGCUAAUUCAAGAACUGGCCCUGGGCUGUGCUGGACUCUGAUGGAAUGGGAAGGCCUGGACUCCCUUACCAAAACCGCCCUCAGUAUGUCAAAGGGCCUAAGCCCCUGACUAAGAGGCAACACUCCUUGCAAUCGAAAACCAUCACAGAAGGAUGUCUGUAAUUGAGUAUAAUAAAAUAGAACUCCUUGGAACAGAGCAGGGAAUGAUUUGUAACUGCAUGAAGAGGAAAGACUUGAAGACCAUUGUGAAAGCCAUUACCAUCCCCAUGGAUCUCAGAGCAUCUGCAAGGAGAGCUAAUACUUCCAUGCCCCAGUUCACCAGGGUAUGGUGACCUAAGCCCAGAGGGCUCCAAACUGCCUGAAGAUUCUCUAGCCACUUGGUCAGCUCUGAAGUCAGGAUUGGUUAUUUCCUCCCUUCCAGCUCUCCUUUUCUGCCUGAGAUACCCAAUACAGUGAAGGAACCUAAAUGAGAACUUGCAGAGGGGAAGUCAUGCCCUGAUUGGCCACAAGGAGGCACUACCUAAACAAUUCAUUUACAAAUUUGCUGGUGAAUACAGGCAUCAGCCUAGCCCCUGUGGAAGGGAGCAGGUCAGGAUUUUAAAAAAAAUAUCGCCUCCCCGGCAGUAUGGACAUGGAGCAACUGUUGAAAUGGAUGAUGCAGCAGAAGGUCCAACUCAGCAGCAGCAGCUACAGCAACUCCUCCAGCAGAUGAUCACCCAGCACCAGCAGCUGAUCCAAGAUUUAGUUGUUCAGCAGCAACAGCAACAGCAGCUGGUGCAGCAGGUGGUGACCAUAUUGCAGCCUCCCACAAUAGUCGGUCUUCCGGCACAGAUCUGACAGAGGCCCCAGUACCAGUCAGACUAACAAAAAUGGGACCUGCAGAUGAUCCAGAGGCCUUUCUCAGAAGGUUUGAAUGAGUGGCAGUGGCAACAUGGUGGCCACAUGAGCAAUGGGCAAUCUUACUAUCACCAUACUUGACUGGAAUUGCACAAAAGGCCUGUUGUGGGUUAGACUCAGUAAUAUCACAGGAUUAUGCAUGAGUCAAACUGGCCAUUUUAGAUUCAUUGGCUAUCUCAGAGGAAACAUUCAGACAGUAAUUUUGGGAGGAGCAAUAUCCUUUGAGUGCCCAGCCCCACAUGAUGGCAUUGAAACUGGAAGAAUGGUGUUGGCAGUGGCACAGACCCAAGACAAUGGUAGGGGUUCAAGUAGUGGAAAUGAUUCUGCUCAAACAGUUUACACAGGUAUUCCCAGCCAGGGAAGGAGACUGGGUGUUACACCACUGGCUUGAGACAAUAACUGAAGCAAUCCAGCUAAUGGAGAUCUCUAUGGUGGCUAGGACAGCAAUACCCAGAAAGGGACCCUCUUGGGCCAAGGGAUAAGCUCUGGUGAACAAGAAACCUGGCCAAGGGGAUCUGUGUCCUGAAGGACUCUACCUACCCAGGGCCUCCCUAGCCAGGAUUUAGGAAGCCCAGGAAGUUGUGCAAGUCGUGAACAACUCAAACUAAGGAACUGGAAUAGUCUAGCUGAGGGUCAGCUCAAGAAUCCUCCAACUCUCCCCAGUCUCAAAAAAGGGAAAUCCUGGGGUCAGGCACAGGGAAGGCCCAUGCAAAAGAGAUUACUGAGAAAUGAGUGGGACACCCCCAUACCAGCAAGCAGGUCCAGGAUGUUUAUUUUAUGUGUGGCCUCCCCUGGCACUGGUACCAAGACUGCCUGUUUAUGGAAUGCAGUUGUGGCAAGUCUGGACUGCAUAGGGCCAAACAGGUUGGCCAGGGCCAGCUAAACUAACCAUCCUGGUUAAACUGGAUAGAAGUAAUAGGCCUUGUGGUCUCAGGGACACAGAGGGGCCAGACCCUCAUGAAAGAAUCAUCAGUACCAACUCCAAGAUUGCCAGACAGCACCAUCUACUUACAGUGUUUGCAUGAGGAUGUAAAGCCAUAUCCCCACACUCAAUUUCUGCUAUCCACGGGGGAGCGUACAAGACCCCUAAUGGCCAGCCUCAUGACAUCACUCAGUUACCUAGUCAUUAUUGACUGAGACUGGGACAAUUUUGGGGACCUCCUGAUGGCAUUCUUGGGAUCACCCCAGAACACAGAGGCCUCACCACUGGCAUCCCCUCAGUUGACUUGGGGCCCAAUAGGCCUCACUCAUAUAGCAUAUAGCCAGGCCAGAGGGCAAGAGUUCCAAGCAGCUAGUUGCUGCCUUAGGAUCCCUGUCAUUCCUGCAGCUUAUGGUUACCCCCUUAUCCAAAUCUGAGAUCCUGAUUAGGUUCUACAAAGUUAUUGAAGAACAAAGAGGAGAUGAGACUUUAAGCUGAUCCUAUGUACUAGUGGUUAUUUUUAAUGGGGAGAUAGUGGACCUCCUGCUAUCUGAAGUAUUCCUCCAUUUUGAAAUUCAGGGUGAGUGGUUGUACCACCUAGAGAGAGAUCAGCAGAGGAAGUUCAAACCCAAUUCCUGGUGCCCCAGAUGCCCCAGUUUUUCUGGCCCAGGAUAUAUAAGAAUGUUCCAGACUUCUAUACCUCUUGCCCAGAAUGUCAACUAACUGUACCCCAGAGAAUGACGAAGGCUAUACUGGUCCAUCUCCCCUUGGUUGACAUACCAUUUGUGAGGACUGGGAUGGACAUGGUUGGGCCACUCAAGAAAAAUGUGGGCUGGGUAUUGCUAAAUCUUCAUAAUCAUGAAUUAUGCUACCCAAUAUCCUGAGGCCUUACCAUUGUGCUCCACAAACACCAAAGCCACUGCAGCUGAAUUGAUGAAGAUCUUUGCCCAAGUAGGGGUGUCUCAGGAGAUUCUUACACAUUAGGGAACUAAAUUUACAUCUCAGGUAUGAAAAAAACAAAGCUGACUACUGAAGAUCAAGUACCUCCUAACCUUCAACUACCCUCCCCAAAUGAUGGGUGGUAGAAGGUUUAAUCAGACACUAAAAAAAAUAAUUUGUCACAGAUACUUGUCACUGGGACCUGCUGCUUCCCCACCAUCACAAUCCUGUUUGUGGUACGACAGGUACCACAAUCAUGCACAGCAUUCUCCCCAUUUGAAUUGUUGUAUGGGAGGCAACCAUGGGGGAUUCUGGACUUAGUACAAGAAAUGUGGGAGGAACUAAGUCCCCAAGGUGACAAUGUUGUAUAAAACAUCCUCACUGUUUGCAUAAGGCUAAGAGGCCUUAGGCACCAUCACACAGGAUAAUAUCCUAAAUUCAUAGAGCACCCAAGAAACAACCUAUAAUAAAGGGGCCCACCUCUGAGUGUUCCAACAGGGAGGAGCUUGUUGCUUCCUAAAUCUGAUUUCUAGUUCUAAGUCAAAACUACUGGCCUGCUGGCAGGGUCCUUACAAAAUUAUUUGCCAGGUAGGGCCAGUGAAUUUUGAAAUCAGGCAGUCAGUCAAGAGGAGGACCAAACAAAUUUACCAUGUCAAUAUCCUAAAGCUGGGAAAAGCCAGGGAGGGCAUAUGUAUAGCUUGCUACCCUCUGGAAUUAGAGUUUGGGCUGCAGACAGACAGCAUCUCAGACUUCCGAAGACAGGGGACAAUCUCACCAGAGCAGAAGGUCCAAGCCCAACAGCUGAUUGCUGCCUUCCCAAUGGUAUUUUCUGCCCAGCCUGGGUGAACCCACCUCACCACCCAUCACAUAGCCUGGACACUGUGUCAGGGAAAACUCGCAGCCUUUUCCCCAGAAGCUGAGAGAGAUCAUGGAACAAGAACUCCAAUCUAUGUUGGACCUUGGGGUAACUGAGGAAUCCUGUAGUGACUGGGGGAGUCCAAUAAUAUUGGUCCCUAAGCUGGAUGUAACCAACCAAUUUUACAUUGACUUUAGAAAAGCCAAUGCCAUAUCAAAGUUACCCCCUGCCAUGUGUUGAAAAGCUAUUACAUCAGCUGGGUGAAGCCAAAUAUAUCCCCACCCUGGAUCUUAACCCAAAAGAUACUCACAAAUUCCAUUCACACCAGAAUCUCAAAACCCCCCCAACAUCCUUUGCCUCCCCCUUCAGCCUGUAUCAGUUCCAGACCAUGCUGUGGGCCUUACACAGCGCACCAGCAACAUUCCAACAGCUAAUGGACCACGUCCUGCGGUCCAUAACCAUUAUGCCACUGCUUACCUCAACAAUGUUGUGAUCUAUAGCCAGAGCUGGGAAGGCCACCUAAAGCAAGUAGCUUCUGUACUUUGGUCCAUUGAAGAAGAUGGACUAACAGCAAACCCUGCACAAUACUGCAUAGGCAAAGACAAGGUGGCUUACCUCAUGUAUACAUUGGGGAAAGGUCAGGUGCAAUCACUUGUGGACAAGGUCCAGGCCUUAAGGGCUUUCCCCACUCUGACUACAAAGAAGCAGAUG